Molecule: ribosomal RNA, 253 nt
Filed under: uncultured bacterium
Lineage: Bacteria
Description: partial 16S ribosomal RNA
Rfam family: Bacterial small subunit ribosomal RNA
Source: RNAcentral
UACGGGGGGGGCAAGCGUUGUUCGGAAUUACUGGGCGUAAAGCGUGCGUAGACGGUUAUUUAAGUCGGGUGUGAAAGCCCCGGGCUCAACCUGGGAAUUGCAUUCGAGACUGAAUAGCUAGGGUACGGUAGAGGGAAGCGGAAUUUCCGGUAUAGCGGUGAAAUGCGUAGAUAUCAGGAGGAACACCGGUGGCGAAGGCGGGUCUCUGGGCAGUAACUGACGCUGAGAAGCGAAAGCGUGGGGAGCGAACAGG